Long non-coding RNA from Gasterosteus aculeatus aculeatus (three-spined stickleback), 5663 nucleotides. The record is from Ensembl. Lineage: Eukaryota; Metazoa; Chordata; Actinopteri; Perciformes; Gasterosteidae.
AAACAUUGAUAAAAAACAUUUUAUGGAAACCUUAAGCCGCUCAGUAAUCUGUUUGAUAUAACAAUGUAAACAUUUAUAAGAUGUACAGUUAGUGUUCAGAUUGCUUCUGUGUACAUUGUGAAAGCUAAGCAUCCUCCCUCCCUUAUGGCAAUGUAGGUCAUAUUUUCCUCCAACUCUGCCUCUUGAGUGUCUCAGCAUGAAACAAGCCCUGCCCCAUCUCUGGAUGCCACCAAACACAGAGACCUCCAGGGACACACACACACACACACACACACAUUCUGACAGAAGCAACGCCAGGAAGACUUCAGACAUGCUGCCAUACUGCACCACUGUCUGGGACCUCCAUUGCCACCGUAUCCCCAAACCACUGUCCGGCACCACGCCUCAUAGAUCCAGCCUCAGGCCAAGCCAGUCCUGCCCAGCUGUGUGUGAUCCAGAGCAGACCGGCCUGACACCAGUCUGCCCGCCAUCCGCACAAUCCUCUCCGUUCUUCCCAACCUCGCACACACCCUAAUCUCUCUCGUCACCGGUCUCUGGAUGGGAACAUGGGAUUGACGGCGCGCUCGCCGCCUCCGUCCUUGCCGCGGCCAUCUGCUUGGUGAGCCCAAGGAAACCAACGGGAACGAUCCCGUGCGCGUGCCAGCCAGCGCCGGCCGGCCGGCUAGCAUCGUGGCGCCGGUGCGUUCCAAGAACUCUGCGCCGUGCCGCAGGACCUUAACUCACUGUCACGGGGCCGUCCAAUGUGAUUGAUCUGGUCCAUUUAGUCAGAGCGGCCAAGUCUGGAGGAGGCCUGGUCCUCCAGUAGCCCAUCCAGCCCCCCUCAGCCCACUUUAGCCCUGACAUCCCAACUAGCACAACACAAACAGCACAGCGCUGCCAGCUGGCCCACAGGCCUGACAUGCUCUGUCUGCUUUUUAGUUAACACGCCACAGGCCUAAAACCAGGCUUACAUGGCUGUCCACCACUCAAUUCUUUUGGCUCUUCCUAGUGAGGAGUAAUGGAACUGAAAUGAAUCGAUGUUCACGUUUUGAUAUGCUACACGAUAAUGCCAUUCUGUUGGAAAGGAGAAUAGGUUAUCUUAACAGUUCAUUUAAGGCUCGACAGGUUAAAUGCAGUUGCUCCGGACCGUCAAAUGAAUGCUCAAGGAAGAGCUUUUAUCAACUCUAUGAAACGACCCCGAUUCACAAAGUAGAGACGAAUAUGUCCUGGAAAGUAUUCUCAAUCCAUGAAUUAAUGGCAGAUGAAAUACAGUCUACAGGAAACUAAAGAUGUCAUCAGUACACGUGUGUGCAGUUUCAUUUUUAAUUCACAAUAUUAUUUCCUGUUCAUCGUAUUUACGGAUCCCUCUUUCUUUUAUUGGAUAGUCUGUGCUCUGCCUGGCUCAUUCUGGGAAAGAUUUAUUUUAAUGGUUUCAUAGUAACUAAAGGCUUUUAGUUACUGUGAAAAUGAGUCCCCUGGAACGAGAGGCCGUAGCCACAUCCCUUAAUGCAGUUGCUAUUUGCGCUCUGUCUGUAUUACGUCACUUUGAAAUCAGGCAUUUUCAUAAAGCAUAGACUUAAUAAUGCUACCUUUUAACAAGUUCACUGUUAGUUUUGGCGAUGUACCCAAUGCCGGGUUAUAUGAUUCCAACCACAUCACAUGGACUUAUUUUUCUUUUGGACUGCUGAGCGGAAAUCGAUUCUGGAGCUGCCCCAUUUCACUGCGUAAACAGAAAGUUAUUGUAGAUUUACCGUUAAAAGUCAUGUAUAGUUUAUUUGAUUUGUUGAAAUACAUGUGAUGGUUAGCUGAAACAGACAUUGCUUUAAUUGCGAGCAUUGAGGCAAUGCAAAGCAUGUUACUACUUAAAUAAAACCUGUAUUAACUGUAUGUGCCCGAAGUACACUGAGUGAAUUUAGAGAACUCUAGGAAGUUUUUUAGAAAAGUUGACUGUCCUAUCACUUAAAUAUUUAACAAGAGGAGAGCUUUUUUCUCUGAAACAUUUCAGCAUCUUCUUGGUCACUAUAUUUUCUCCUCAUCUCUCUCUCUCUCUCUCUCUCUCUCUCUCUCUCUCUCUCUCUCUCUCUCUCUCUCUCUCUCUCUCCCUUUCGUUCUCUCUCUGCCUGCUAUUUCUGUUUUACUUUUGCUGCAGAAGACAAUCUGUGCAUCGAACAUGGCGUGAAAGGGACAAAAGAGCUAGUUGCUCAUCCAGUUUAUCAACAGACCAACCUCACGGCUCAAUUUACCGUACGGGCAUCCAUAAAGCUUUAUCUAAUCUAAUAGCAUUUUAUUUACUUCAGACUUAAUCCAAAUAUGCUCACACACCCCUGAAUAAAGUGAUAUUUAGCAAACAUUUUAAGCAUGUUUAAAUGUGAACACAAUAGAAAAUGUUUGUAAAUUUUUUUCUUGAAUACAGUUCGCUUACAUUUCCAUGAUUCCCUUGUAGAAUUUGUCCGAAGGGGAGAAAGCCCCCCGUCUGACUGAGGCAGUUGGAGAGCCUGUGAGCUGUCCGAGGACCACCAUGGGAACUUCACUAGUGGGGUUAGCUGGAAAGAUUGUGGGAGAGCAGUGACAGUUGGGGCACUUUUCUCAUGUGAAAAGGGCCCAGCCUUCCCGUAGAAAAACACACCACAACAAACAAAGAGCAUCCGUGACAGCUGAUAAUCUAAAGUUUGAACUUUUUUUAAAAGCAGGGGCAAUCUUUCCUUUUUUGCUUUUCCCCACUUUGGUAAUCCUAUCCAGGUUAAUUAAAGAAUUCUUUUCUUAAUUUCCCAGAAUAUAAUCGUGACAGUCUUACGAGCAGCAAGGUAAGAUGAUCUCAUAUUUUGGUUCGUUGCUGCUAACCGUGUUGCAAAGUAGUUUUAAGCGUGUCUCCAAUGGUGACAUCUCAUCACGCCGCAGUAUGAAAUGGUCCUGAAGUUGAAUGAGACCCAAACAAAAGCGUGAGGGAAUUAGCACAUGCGAGGCACAUUUCCAGAAAGUGUUUAUGUUCUUCUUAAAGCCUUUCUCUGGCAGAAGCGAUUACAUGAACGUCUCCUACUCAUUUGUUUUCAUCUGAACGUUUGGCUGAGGGGUUUAUCCAUCUUGACAAGCACAUAAUGUGGCUUUUGGUGCUGUGAGGGAGAAAAUGAGAGGAAUCGGAGUAGAGUGAGGGGAGGAAUUGUGAAAGUUAAAACAGAGGCUGUAUGGUAGGGUUUUAUCACUUUUCUUGCUCUCCCCUUCCUCUCUGUAACCACAUGCUUAACCCCCCUAAGAUGUGUUAAAAGAUCACAAUAAUCCCCUCGAAAUGACAUUAGUCCUCACUCUCCUCUUUGAGUAGGUGGAAUGCAUCUGAGCCAAAUUACUGAAGACACUCUAGGGUGUUGGGAACGAUGUGAUAAACACAUAAAGUUCCCAAUGUAAUUUGAUUAAGUCUAAAAAGUAUAAAUAUGGUGUCUGCGCAGCAUCCCAUGCUAAGCCAAUUAGAAGCUCUACAGUAAAUUAAUUUGGAAUUUAAUUAAUAAUUUGCGUUAUGGUAAACUUAUAAAAUCCUACACCAUUGGUUCAUAUGAUUUCUUUAGAACUUUCAAAGAUCUUUUCUCAUGCUAUGUUGAAUAGUAUAAUAUACCACACUAGCCAAAACGACCAUAUCUGUAGAUCAGGUCAGAUUAGAAGGAAAAAACAUGACGGACACAAGAAGGAUUACGUCAAAUAGCUCAUUUGGAUUGUCCUCUCAUCUGAACCACUUGGCUACUUGAUGCCAAUUCAUAGAUUAGAACAUCUGGACAAAAUCUCCCUUUACCAGCGGUGCGUGUGGACACAGCACGACAAUGCUUAUUUCUCAUUCGUCAAAUGGGUAAACUGGGAGGCUGGAUUGGAAUUGCUGCAAAGAAAAGUCACUGACUUCUCUGAGGCACAUUUCAGUUAUAGAACACUAAAACAGGAGUGGACAGGAGGGAAUGUAUCUAUCCAUCUGUCUAUCCAUACAUAUAGUGUUGUGAGCCUAACAUUGUUUUAUAUGUAUAUGGGUGGCUGCCUGUUUGCAGAUCCACUUCCCCUGGUGCGGGAAGUGUUGGAUAAUUAGCUGGCUUAUCGGCCUGGGACUCGGGCAGUCUCCCUUCCACUGACAGGUCAUGGAGCCCAGGACCAGCGGGAGGUUGGAGGAGAAGGCAGUGGGAUGAUAAGACCACAGGAGAAGAGACAAGAAGGAGAGAGAGAGAAGGAACUGUGGGGGAGGGCAGAGAGGCAGACAAAACCUGAAGGAGAGAAAUGGGAUGAGGAGCCAGACAGAGGAGCAGAUAAAGAGAUGGAGCAGAUAAAAAGGGGGAGACAGUUAGGCCCCGCAAGGACAGAGCAGCUGCUCCGGCCUAUCAGCGCUUCCACGAGGCCUCGGCACUCAUUAGCAUAAAUUCGAAUGACAAAUGUGGCCCGCUUUGGCAAAGACUAAUUAAUUCACGGAGGGGGAAAACUCACCAGAGUAAGAAUUCAAAUCAUUCAAUGCCACAGGCCUGAGCAAGUGUUAACAGAAAGCGUGCUGAGCUCCAUUGUUUUUGGGAUAUUACAGUGGCCUUAUGUGUUGGGAAAAGGUUACAGCUUUCCUUUGACAUUUGUUUGUAUUUUGUACGUUUGGGUUAGAAUUGGCUUUUUCAGAAUUCAGUAUGAGAGGUCAAUAUUUUUGAAAAGGUUUCAUUCAAAGGACGGUGUUUUUUAAAGCAUGUAUGAGGUGUGCGUGCAUAUAGUGUGGUAUGUGGUUGCGUGUGUGUCGGGACCGUGUGAUUUGGUUGAUUCGCCUGAUGGGUAGAGUUAGUUAUAAUUUCACACACAUACAGGCACACCCCCCCCCCCUACACACACACACAGACACACACUUUAUAAGUCAUAACAAUGGACAGGAAAGCCUGGCUUUGCUCUGAAGUAGAGGCAGGCCACUGCUGGCCUGUUAGACAUAGGGAAAGGAUAAGUGCUCCCCCUUGUGUUCAGCACAUUCUGGUUUCACACACUAUAAUUACACUCUCUAGGACCGUGUGAUUAAGGUAUUAAAAUGACAUUACUCUCCGUCACUAUGGAUACCUGAACAAAGUUUUUCACAUCACAAUUAACCUCUUGCUUUCUUCUCAGCACAAUGACUAUUACCUCAUUUCCAUUACCUUCAAUCUGCCAACAAAGUCUCCUCAACGUCUGUUACAAGCCUAUCGCCCUGAUGUAUGAUCAUUGGUGUUAUACAUUAUACCUUGAUGUAUAUUUAAUCUAUUCAACGUGUUAGCAAGUGGCGCUGAAUGGAGUGGGAGAGAGGGGGUCUAAAUAAGCCAUUUGAAUGAGAUUAAAAAGCGUCUGCUUCAUGCGCAUGCUUGUGUUACUCCUAAAUUAUCAAUGUUUUCAACUUUACAGCAUGUUUAAGUCCAGGUGUUCCUGCAGCAACACAACUGUGUGUGUGUGUGUGUGUGUGUGUGUGUGUGUGUGUGUGUGUGUGUGUGUGUGUGAUAGACACAGCGUGUGCCUGCACAUGUGUGUGUAUUUCUGCAUCAGUGUGUGUACUUGCAUGCUCCUGAGCUAUCAGUCUUGGUCAGGUCCCCGCCUGGGUGCGGGAAGGUUUGUCUCCCCAUGUUGUUGCAGCCUGUGUAAUCAUGGUAUUAAUUAUUAGCUGUUUGCUCUCCAUCAUCCACCUCCCCUGGGGGGCGGGCACCGUGCCUGGCCUGCCAAAGGCUGCC